AUUGAACGCUGGCGGCAUGCUUUACACAUGCAAGUCGAACGGUAACAGGCCUUCGGGUGCUGACGAGUGGCGAACGGGUGAGUAAUGCAUCGGAACGUACCCAGAGGUGGGGGAUAACGCAGCGAAAGCUGUGCUAAUACCGCAUGUGAUCUGAGGAUGAAAGCGGGGGACCGAGCAGCAAUGUUUGGCCUCGCGCCUUUGGAGCGGCCGAUGUCGGGUUGGCUAGUUGGUGGGGUAAAGGCCUACCAAGGCGACGAUCCGUAGCUGGUCUGAGAGGACGACCGGCGACAUGGGGACUGAGCCACGGCCCAGACUCCUAAGGGAGGCAGCAGUGGGGAAUUUUGGACAAUGGGCGCAAGCCUGAUCCAGCAAUGCCGCGUGCGGGAAGAAGGCCUUCGGGUUGGAAACCGCUUUUGGCAGGAACGAAACGGUGUCCGCUAAUACCGGGCGCUAAUGACGGUACCUGCAGAAUAAGCACCGGCUAACUACGUG
Molecule: ribosomal RNA, 492 nt
Filed under: uncultured bacterium
Lineage: Bacteria
Description: partial 16S ribosomal RNA
Rfam family: Bacterial small subunit ribosomal RNA
Source: RNAcentral